UACGUAGGGGGCAAGCGUUGUCCGGAUUUAUUGGGCGUAAAGAGCGUGUAGGCGGCUGGGUAGGUCCGUUGUGAAAACUCGAGGCUCAACCUCGAGACGCCGAUGGAAACCCUCCAGCUAGAGUCCGGAAGAGGAGAGUGGAAUUCCUGGUGUAGCGGUGAAAUGCGCAGAUAUCAGGAGGAACACCAAUGGCGAAGGCAGCUCGCUGGAACGGUACUGACGCUGAGGCGCGAAAGCGUGGGGAGCGAACAGG
RNAcentral lists this ribosomal RNA (253 nucleotides) under uncultured bacterium. Its description in RNAcentral is "partial 16S ribosomal RNA". It matches the Rfam family "Bacterial small subunit ribosomal RNA", at positions 524 to 776 of the family's 1533-position model. The record is from RNAcentral.